CGUUGUAGCUCAAUCCGGCAGAGCAACUGAAUCGUAAUCAGUAGGUUGGGGGUUCAAUUCCCUUCGACGG
RNAcentral lists this transfer RNA (70 nucleotides) under bovine gut metagenome. It matches the Rfam family "tRNA". From Rfam's summary of the family: Transfer RNA (tRNA) molecules are approximately 80 nucleotides in length. Their secondary structure includes four short double-helical elements and three loops (D, anti-codon, and T loops). The record is from RNAcentral.